This 815-nucleotide ribosomal RNA is filed under the name uncultured Subdoligranulum sp. RNAcentral describes it as "bacterial SSU rRNA". It matches the Rfam family "Bacterial small subunit ribosomal RNA", at positions 8 to 846 of the family's 1533-position model. The record is from RNAcentral. Lineage: Bacteria; Bacillati; Bacillota; Clostridia; Eubacteriales; Oscillospiraceae.
AGAGUUGAUCCUGGCUCAGGACGAACGCUGGCGGCGCGCCUAACACAUGCAAGUCGAACGGAGCUUAGAGAGCUUGCUUUUUAAGCUUAGUGGCGAACGGGUGAGUAACGCGUGAGUAACCUGCCCUAGAGUGGGGGACAACAGUUGGAAACGACUGCUAAUACCGCAUAAGCCCACGGUACCGCAUGGCACUGGGGGAAAAGGAUUUAUUCGCUUUAGGAUGGACUCGCGUCCAAUUAGCUAGUUGGUGAGGUAACGGCCCACCAAGGCGACGAUUGGUAGCCGGACUGGGAGGUUGAACGGCCACAUUGGGACUGAGACACGGCCCAGACUCCUACGGGAGGCAGCAGUGGGGGAUAUUGCACAAUGGGGGAAACCCUGAUGCAGCGACGCCGCGCGGAGGAAGAAGGUUUUCGGAUUGUAAACUCCUGUCGUUAGGGACGAUAAUGACGGUACCUAACAAGAAAGCACCGGCUAACUACGUGCCAGCAGCCGCGGUAAAACGUAGGGUGCAAGCGUUGUCCGGAAUUACUGGGUGUAAAGGGAGCGCAGGCGGGAAGACAAGUUGGAAGUGAAAACCAUGGGCUCAACCCAUGAAUUGCUUUCAAAACUGUUUUUCUUGAGUAGUGCAGAGGUAGAUGGAAUUCCCGGUGUAGCGGUGGAAUGCGUAGAUAUCGGGAGGAACACCAGUGGCGAAGGCGGUCUACUGGGCACCAACUGACGCUGAGGCUCGAAAGCAUGGUAGCAAACAGGAUAGAUACCCUGGUAGUCAUGCCGUAACGAUGAUACUAGGUGUUGGGGAUGACCCCUCAUGC